This 301-nucleotide ribosomal RNA is filed under the name uncultured bacterium. Its description in RNAcentral is "partial 16S ribosomal RNA". It matches the Rfam family "Bacterial small subunit ribosomal RNA", at positions 509 to 807 of the family's 1533-position model. The record is from RNAcentral.
CAGUAGCCGCGGUAAUACGUAGGGUGCGAGCGUUAAUCGGAAUUACUGGGCGUAAAGCGUGCGCAGGCGGCUUUGCAAGACAGAUGUGAAAUCCCCGGGCUCAACCUGGGAACUGCAUUUGUGACUGCAAGGCUAGAGUGCGGCAGAGGGAGAUGGAAUUCCGCGUGUAGCAGUGAAAUGCGUAGAUAUGCGGAGGAACACCGAUGGCGAAGGCAAUCUCCUGGGCCUGCACUGACGCUCAUGCACGAAAGCGUGGGGAGCAAACAGGAUUAGAUACCCCGGUAGUCCCUGUCUCUUAUAC